Molecule: unclassified non-coding RNA, 1782 nt
Filed under: uncultured fungus
Lineage: Eukaryota; Fungi
Description: sequence contains 18S rRNA gene, ITS1, 5.8S rRNA gene, ITS2, 28S rRNA gene
Rfam family: Eukaryotic large subunit ribosomal RNA (bases 762-1782)
Source: RNAcentral
GGAAGGAUCAGUGCAUGAGAAUGAGAGAGGUGGUUGGGCUGGGGGUUGAUGGGGGAAAGAGUCUUGUGGACGGGUGGACAGUUUGUCUGGACACUGGCUGUGGAUUGUUUGCUCUCUUUGCUCUCGCCUGCCAACAUUUGCGCUUUAAUGUUUGACAGAUUGUAUAUGAGAAUAGGAAUAUAGACAACUUUUAACAAUGGAUCUCUUGGCUCUUGCAACGAUGAAGAACGCAGUAAAGUGCGAAAAGUGAUGCGACGUGCACGAAUCUGUGAGUCAUUUAAUGUUUGAACGCAACUUGCGCCUCGGUGAGGCAUGUCUGGUUGAGUGUGUGAUACACUUGUGACGAUUGCAAUAGCAGUUGAUGUUGAUGUUGAUGCUGAUAUUGAUGUUGAUGUUGAUGUUGGUAUUAAUGUCAAUGUUGGUAUUGAUGUUGAUGUCAAUGUUGGUAUUGAUGUUGAUGUUGAUGUUGGUAUUAAUGUCAAUGUUGGUAUUGGUAUUGAUGAUGUUGUUGUUGUUGUUGUCAUGUAGUUGGCGGGGGUGUGUGGGUGGCACGACAUGGCAUCACAUGGCCAUGGGGUGACAUUUGCACACGCUGCUUGAAACAAUAGUCUAUCGAUCAAGAGAGGACUCGAGUGCAAGUCAUUUUAAUCUCGCAUCCUUUGUUGGUUGACAAGCGAGUGGGUUGGGUGUGAUGGUCAAUGAUUUGGUUGUAUAGUACAUGACUCGAUCAAGCCAUGACCGGCCUGCUCGCGCUCUUGUCGACGCCUCAACUCAGUCAGGACUACCCGCUGAACUUAAGCAUAUCAGUAAGCGGAGGAAAAGAAACUAACAGGGAUUCCCCUAGUAACGGCGAGUGAAGCGGGAACAGCUCAAAUUUGGAAUCUCGACGUCUCGGCGUCGCGAAUUGUAGUCUAAAGAGAGCGAUCAUUGGCACGGCAGAGGCGCAAGUCUCUUGGAAUAGAGCGCCAGAGAGGGUGACAGCCCCGUCAGGCAUCUGCGGUGUCUCGUAUGAGAGCUCUUUAACGAGUCGAGUUGUUUGGGAAUGCAGCUCAAAGCGGGUGGUAAAUCCCAUCCAAGGCUGAAUAUUGGCAAGAGACCGAUAGCGAACAAGUACCGUGAGGGAAAGAUGAAAAGCACCUUGAAAAGGGAGUUAAACAGUGCGUGAAAUUGUUAAAAGGGAAACGAUAGAGUCCAGUAUUGGUGCAUGCUUCAAGCUAAUGCUCGGGUGUUGGCAGCGAGCAUGGACACGAGUCAAAAUUGGUUGGGGUCGCUGAAUAAUGGCAGGAGAAAGGGUUGAUUUGCAUUUGCUGAUCGACGGUCUCUUGUUGUUGCAGGGACUGCGACCAAGGAUGGAAGCGAGUCUGGAGAGGCGACGUGUCGGAAUGAUUGGCCUGAUUGUAUUUUCAGGGUGGAUUGUGACGAGCGUGGCUUUUGUUGGCUUGGAUCUAGGUUUGACGAAAUGGCCUCUAACGACCCGUCUUGAAACACGGACCAAGGAGUCUAGCAAGUGUGCGAGUAUUAGGGUGGCAAACCCGGAUGCGCAACAAACGUGAGUGUUGGGAGCCUGACAUUUGUUGGGUGCACCAAUGACGUGAUCCACACGCGUGUGGGUUGCGUGCAGCUCACUUGCUGGGACCCGAAAGGCGGUGAACUAUGCCUGACUAGGGCAAAGCCAGAGGAAACUCUGGUGGAGGCUCGUAGCCGUUCUGACGUGCAAAUCGAUGGUCAAAGUUGGGUAUAGGGGCGAAAGACUAAUCGAACCGCCUAGUAGCUGGUUCCCUC